RNAcentral lists this ribosomal RNA (630 nucleotides) under Burkholderia sp. 1SC. RNAcentral describes it as "bacterial SSU rRNA". It matches the Rfam family "Bacterial small subunit ribosomal RNA", at positions 407 to 1027 of the family's 1533-position model. The record is from RNAcentral. Lineage: Bacteria; Pseudomonadati; Pseudomonadota; Betaproteobacteria; Burkholderiales; Burkholderiaceae.
GAAGAAGGCCUUCGGGUUGUAAAGCACUUUUGUCCGGAAAGAAAUCCUGAGGGCUAAUAUCCUUCGGGGAUGACGGUACCGGAAGAAUAAGCACCGGCUAACUACGUGCCAGCAGCCGCGGUAAUACGUAGGGUGCGAGCGUUAAUCGGAAUUACUGGGCGUAAAGCGUGCGCAGGCGGUUUGUUAAGACCGAUGUGAAAUCCCCGGGCUCAACCUGGGAACUGCAUUGGUGACUGGCAAGCUAGAGUAUGGCAGAGGGGGUAGAAUUCCACGUGUAGCAGUGAAAUGCGUAGAGAUGUGGAGGAAUACCGAUGGCGAAGGCAGCCCCCUGGGCCAAUACUGACGCUCAUGCACGAAAGCGUGGGGAGCAAACAGGAUUAGAUACCCUGGUAGUCCACGCCCUAAACGAUGUCAACUAAGUUGUUGGGGGAUUCAUUUCCUUAGUAACGUAGCUUACGCGUGAAAGUUUGACCGCCUGGGGAGUACGGUCGCAAGAUUAAACUCAAGGAAUUGACGGGGACCCGCACAAGCGGUGGAUGAUGUGGAUUAAUUCGAUGCAACGCGAAAAACCUUACCUACCCUUGACAUGGUCGGAACCUUGGAGAGAUCUGAGGGUGCUCGAAAGAGAAC